CCUUACACAAGGCAUUUAGUGACAGGAAAAAUUUAUAAUUUUUCAUGUUCCGCUGUCACAUUUAUUAAUGCUGUAUGGCGAAUUUAUCAGAUGCCAUUUAUAUGUACACGGGUAUGGUAUGGACUGAAAUAUUGUUAUUAUGUUGAUGCCAAAACUUGAUAUAAGGGGGAAGUGAUGCAUUACGGGAGGACUGAGCAGUCGGCGUUUGGAGGUGUGCGAGGAGUUUCCCGUUUCUAAAGGAUCAAACCAAAUACAGCGGAUUGUUUUUUGUUCCUUGUGGAUUACCUCAAGACACAACUUUGCUGCCAAGCGGGACGAGUGGUGAGGUUGCGUGGUUCUUUGUUUGUUUUUGUGAACUGCGGCACUUCAUUACGCUCCAACAGACUCCCCUUUAACAUACAUGUUUUCUUUUUUUGCCGGCUUUUGGGACUUUGAUUGACUGCUGGGGGGGUGGUAAUUCGGGCUAUUUUGUGAAGGGGGUGUUUUUUGAUAAUGUGGAAAAAGUGUUUGAUUAUCUGUGAAUUGUUUGGUGAACCGGUGCCCACGCCGUUUCUUGUUUAAGUGUUAUCUCCGUCUGGACGUGGACAUGAUUUAUUUUCUUUCACUAAAGUUUGAUUAUUGACUCAACCUAUUGUGACUCAUUCGUUAAUCUUCGUUUAUUCUGAAUAUUUUAACACCGCAAGGGUGAGAAUUUGAGUUUGUUUUGGGUGAUAAAGCAAAAUUAAUUGAUCUUUUUUUUCGUAUCUCAAACACCUCGCACCUGAUCCGCCCGUAACCUUUAGAUUAACGUUGUAACUUUUCCUUUGGUUAAUUUUUUACAAGGGGAAUUGUUACAUGUGUUGUUUGGUUGCUAAUGUUUUUCAUUCGCUAUUUUUCUCAGGUCUUUUCUGUUGGUCUUGCAUUCUUGAUCAAACCAUUUGUCAGCAUUUUAAUAGCCGCCUUGUGAAAUAUAUUUAUAUCAUCAAUGGCCUUGUUUACACCAUCUCUGGUAGGGACAUAUUGUUUUUUGUUAUAUAUUGGCAUGUUAUUUAUCAGUUCAGGUGAGUUUAAGGCCAUGAUGAAUUUGUCCUCACUUUCUGGGGCCCAUCUGUAAGCGGGAUUUAGUUUAUACAGCUUACUGUCACUCAUUUGACCUGAGAUUUUAGAGAACACAUUUUUUGGUUGUGGUCUGAAAGAGCUGUUUGUUGUCUGUCAGUGAAUGCACUGAUAGUAGAGGGGUACAUGUCAGUGACUGUGUAGUCUACCGCGCUAGACCCAAGAGCUGAGGAGUAUGUGAAUCUCCCUGAAGAAUCCCCUCUGAACCUACUGUUAACUAUGUACAGGCCUAAGGCCCGUCAGAGAUAGACUACCUCCCUGCCACUUUGAUUUAUUUCAGAGUCAAGGUUGUUCCGAUGGGUGAUAGUUGGUGUGGUAAACAGGGGAGAAUGACCAAACACAUGGUUGUUGCCCUGUGGGUCGAUGACAUCAGGUUCAAUUCCCGUUCGUCCAUUCAGAUCUCCAGUUAGAAGCACGUUUCCCUGGGCCUGGAAAUAUGCGAUCUCUCAAUGGAGAGUUUCAAAUGUGUCUUCUUCAAAAUAGGGAGAAUCUACUGGGGGUAUGUAAAUAGCACAUAGAUAUAGAUCUCUAUCAGUUAUACCCAGCGUUUGAUCUAAUCUUAGCCAAAUGUGUGAUUUACCCUGUUUUACUGGUGAGAUCAAAAGAUCUCCUUUAUACCACACCAAGAUCCCCCCGGAUGUUCUGCCCUUGCGUAUGGUUUUUAAUUUUAUAGAGGGCACCAUGACUUUGUUAUAUUCUGUAGGACAGUGAGUGAGCAUAUCAUUUUGACACCAUGUUUCAAUGUUACAAUUACAUCAAUGUCUUUGAUGGAUUUCAUAAAGUCAGGGUUUCCACUUUUCAGCUCAGUGGUAGAGGAGUGGAGACCCUGAAUAUUCCAACAGCUUAUAUGUAACAAAUGCAUUUAAAAACAGUUAAAAUGAACCUAUAUAGUGAGGUAAAUAUAAAAACACCUACAACUAUGUAUACAGUUACUACACUGGAUAAUAAUUUGAUAUGAAAUUUUAUGGUAGCAUACUGUUUUCACUAAUACUACUACUACUGUACUGACUACUACCUUUUUAUUGUGUUCUGAAUAUGUGCAUCUUAGCUGGACAGAAGCCGGGUGCAGAGGGUUUGUAGCAUCUCUGUGAUGUCUCCCAGUUCAGAAGGCAGGUGCCGCAGCAUGUCUCCGCCGCUGAUGCUGCAAAGGGUGUCGGUGGGCAAAAGGUCGAGGAUGGGGACGGCAGUCCCCUCCGGCUGCGCUCCACAUCUGUGAGGCGGUGGGUGCGCGGGGAGUCAAAGGCCCACGUUGAAUUGUCAUGACUCCUUGCAUUAGGCGGGAUGAUCCUGGGGUGGUGAUGGAGAGGAGAAGGCCUGGGGUGGUCUCCAAAACCCUGAGUAGAUUUUGAUUUUUUUUUUAUUUGAUUUCUUUAUUUAAGUGUCAUGCUUCAAAGAAGCCCAGCCCUUAGGGGCUUAUAAGACACUUCAUCUCAAAAACAGAAACAAUGAUCAAAUAUACAAGUUGGAAACAACCAAGAUACAAAACAAAUGUGCAAUAAUAAAGAUGCACAGUCCUCAUGAUUAGGACAGUGAACCCUAAUCUAAUCCAUUGAUAUGUCUCACUUAAAGGGCCAGUGUGUAAAAUGGGUUAAACAGUGACAUCAGUGGUCAAAUUCUAGAUUGCAGGGCUCACUCACUCACCCCUCCCGUCGGGUAAAUGACGGCAGCCUCGUAGGGACAAAAAGCCUUGCGCACGACUUUUUCAGGAGUAGGUCUAUCUAAUCUCUCUCUUUAUAGCGAUCAUACACUUGUAUAAACAUAUUAAUGGGUAGAAUAUUCAGAUUCAGAUUCAGACUGACAAUAAACCAUGCCAAACAUUACACACUGGCCCUUUAAAAAGCAAGGAUUGCCUUCUAUUCCAGGCUUUGAAAAUAAAAUUAAAACCUCAGUCUUAAAUAACCGCUCCAACUUCUGACCAUCAUCUGCCCAAAAUAAAUCAGCUUUUUGUUUUUGCAUUUCAUCAAACAAGGGAACCCUUAAAUCCUCAUGCUGUGAACAAUAAAACAUAAAAUGAAAUUCAUUUUCAACCUCUUUCAGAUCACAGACAUUACAUAUCCUAUUGUCUUCAGGUACCGCAGUAAACCGCCCCACUUCAAUAGCGAGGGGUAGGAUACCAGCUCUGAGCUGAGCACACAGUGACCUCUGGCUUCUGGUUAGAAAGGAAGUAACGUAGGGUUCAGGGCCAAAACUCUGCUUCAUUUGAACAUAUGAUCUAAGCUUGAAGUGGGGGUUGGAGGGCUGCGUCCUAGAGCCAUGUCUUUGAGGGACUUUGCAAAUAUCCUCACCCUAUCUCUUUGUAGAUGGAGUCCAUCAUAGAGGUCCCAUGUCCCAAUGGGUGGGUGGAGGGCCAGGUGGACAUUGGGUAAUGUGGCACAUCCUCUUCUGAUCUCCAUAUUAAUAUCAUUGAUGAUAUGAGGAGGAGUGUCUGCCCUGGGUAGCAGGGUGGAGACCACAAUGCGGGUGUCAGGGAACUCCUUACUGGCCUGCUCCACCAUCUUCUUCACUGCCUCAGCAGUGUCCUUAUGGAGGCGGUGCAAGUCAUUUGUUCCUGUGUGGAUCACCAGACAUUCAGGGUUCUUGAUCUCUUUUUUCAAUAACUUCAUUGCUUGGCCUGUGGUGCUGCAGCGUUUAGACAGCACUUUCUUAACAGGAAAAAGCUAGUUUGUCAGCCAGCAGGACCACUUGUUGGUCUUGCUCCUCAUGCUGAGUGCAGGAAAGCUGGGAUGGACAGAGCUGGCUGUUGGUAGCUGGUUGUGUGGCUGGAUCAGCAGGUGCCAGGGUGUUGCUGGGCAGAGAAGGUUGGAUAGAGACGAGGCAGGGGUCUGCGUCACUGGCAAGGAGAGUAUGUGUCUCUGUACUUCUCAUUGUGGGAACUGAUGAGAGUUUGACAGGUGUUGGAUUUGCCUGGUGAGGCUCCCGUCUCUCUUCUUAGCAUGAUCCUUCCCAUUGGCAAGCUGAGCACGGAAUACACUGUUCUCCUGUUUGAGUGCCUCUAGACGAAGUCUAGAAGUCCGAAGUCAGAUGCCAAGGUCUGGUUGUCUCUCUUGAGAUGCUGGAACUCCUCUUUAAGGUGCUGUAGAGCGUUGUCUGAGGGGUCAGACAGCCUAGCCUGAGUUUGCUCUUUAAAUUCAGCAUAGUCUAGCUCCAGCAGGGCUAGACUCUCCUUCAUCUGGUUGGUGGAGGGGCAGAGAUGGAUAAAGUGGUGGGGUUCUCUGCUGGGCUCUCACCAUCUUCACUGUCAGAGAGGGCAAUGAUUCUCUUGGUGUCCACCUCAUUUUUAAACAAGGGGAAUGCCUCUUCAAAUGAAUCCAUGUUAGCUUCAUUUCCUUGUAUCAUGAUCUUUCCUUUGGUGUGGUAUGUGAUGGUAAGCAGAGGGUCAUCAAGGUCAAGGUUUUACAGAUCUUUAAUUGAUAAGUGUUCAGGAGCUCAUUCUUUUUGCAGCUUACUCUCUGUCUCUCUCUCUGUCUGUCUCUGUGUCUUUCAUUCUCUUUCUCUUUUUUCUCUUUGUCUCUCUGUUUCUCUCUCUUAAUCUUCAAUUUAAUGGACUUUUUUGAAAUGGAAUUGUCAGUGUGUAGGACUUCUGUUGUUGAUUUACAAGAGGAGCCCACACUUCACUAUCAUACAGUAAUGUUGGUUCAAUUAUAAAUUGGAAUAUUUUGAGCCAGAUUCUAACUAGGUGUAUCUUUGCUUGAAAAACUUUUACAUAGCAUAUAAAUCUCUGCUUCCCAUGUCUCUGAGAUCAUUAACAGUCAGGUUGAUACUUCCUGUUGAGGUAAUUUUUAGUCCCAGAUAUGUGUAGGUGGUUGUGUGUGGGUUCUCUGUCAGUGGAGCCCAGCAGGAAUCUGAUUGGGUUUCCCUGACACCUGGGUUGUUUCUGGAAGACCAUAUUUUUAGUCUUUUCUAGAUUGACUGUCGGGCCCAGGUGUGACAGACGUUUUGUAGAUGACCCAGUUGUUGUUUUAAUGCUUCCUUGGAUAGAGCUAACAAUAUUAGAUCAUCUGCAAAAAGGAGGCAUUUAAUGUCUGUGUUAGAAAUGCUGAGUCCAAGGAUAUCUGACUGUUCUAGUGGUUUUCAUCAAUAUAAAUGUUAAACAGGGUGGGGCUGAGGCUGCAGCCCUGUUUCACCCCUCUACUUUAGGGGAAGAAAUCUGUUUCCAUAUUGCCAAUUUCCACGGCACAUUUACUUGGUUUUAAGGUAUACCGUGAUAUAAAAGUUGAUGGUUAUCAUAUGGUGUAUAUUUGCUUAUCUACAAUAUUGAAAAAAAUCUCCACUUUAUUUUAGGUAUUUUUUAAGGGGAGACUUUUUACAUACAUAUGCUUUAACAAAAUGGUUUCAAAUUGUAAUGAUAGCAAUAAAAUGUUUGUUCAUCCAACAAUAAUCCUUCUGUCUUCACUCCUUUAAGGGUCAUUCUUCCUGAUAAUAAAGAUUUUGUAAUAUUGUGAUACCGCGAUAUUUUCUAAGAUGGUUAGCGUACCAUGAAAAUCUUUUACCAUUGCAACUAUACAAUCCAUUAUGUCAAAAUGAGUCUCUCUGUUUCUCUUUUUCUCGCUGUCUCUCUCUCUCUCUCUCUCUCUCUCUCUCUCUCUCUCUCUCUCUCACUCACUCACUCACUCACUCACUCACUCACUCACACUCACACUCACACACACACACACACACACACACACACACACACACACACACACCAGUGGCGGCUGCUGGUCUUUCAAACGGGAAGCUCACUUUAAGUCAUAAAACAUGACAUCAUGAAAUUUGUCAUAUUGUAGCGAGGCAGUAACUUAUUAAAGGAACAUUUAAUUGAAGCCAUUUUUCAACCACACUCAUGCCACAGAACCACAGCAAAACACACCUCAAAGAUUUUCAGAUGGGUUUAAACAACUGAACUGUACUGUACAAAUGGAGAAAAUGAGCUAUAUCGCUUAUGGAAAUAAAGAACUCCAGAAGGCACUCUGUCAGAAGACUCCAUUCGCCAAUGCCGGUGUGUAUUUCCAAAGCGCUCCUCUCCCGCCUACCGCUCCAUUAGGUCCCAGGGAAGCUGAUCCUCCCUGGAAGUGACGAUUUUGUCACAUUUAUCCAGUGACCGUCUUGCUUUGCUGCAUGAAAAAAACCUGCUCAGUGCUGUCUCAUAGGAAUGCUCGGAGGCUCUGCGUCCACUGUGUUGACAUGACAAUGUAUGACAGGGAGGUCGCAUUUGAAAACUGGUGAUAAACAGCUGAUGUUUUAACAUCAUAGUUAUGUUAAACGCAUCCUAGCGCACGUUUAAUGCAAUGUAAAUUCUUAUUUUGAUGUAAAUUCAAUAGUGCAUAUUUGACCAUUUCUUCUAUGAAAUUUUGGGGGAAGUUCAACCUUCCUUGUUGUCUCAGCAAUCGCCCCUGACACACACACACACCUAACUGAGCCGUGUGUAGACUGGCCCUCCUCUCCAUGCAGUCAGAAUCAAAACAUGAUCCUGCGUGGGAGGAAGGAUUGAUUUUGGCUUUUCCCCACAGAGAAGAUGGCUGGCCAAAUUCCUGAAUAGAAUCAGUCAUAGAUGGUUAGUAUCGUGUAUACUUCUGCACAAAUGUGUCCAAAACUCCAAAUGAAACUUGAAAAGGCUCUAAAGGGACCACAGGUAUUAACAAAACAGAGUACCUAGAAACUUAAAACACAUAUUUGGAAGCUGCACAGUCCGAGCAGUGUGAUUAGCUAUUCAGUUAAUUUGUUCAGAAUAUUUCCAGGCUCCAGCCAGGGCUGCUGUGGCAGCUGAAGCAGAGAGGGUCAGGAAGGGAUAACUGUAGGGGAUGAAGACUGAGAUGUGGGAAAGGAGGAGGACAGCAGCCAACAUGCUGCUGUGGAAAGAGCCAGUUUGGGCAGAAGCAACAGGUGAGAUUGACAGCAGACAUAUAAAUGCAGAGCAGGUCAGAAAAGCAGGUAACUCAUUUCUGUUCUUCUGUGCCUAGUAGAGGCACUGGAUUUCAUCCAGAGCUGCUCAAUAAGUUUCACUUUAAGCCUUUGAUGUACCACAGAAAGCAUGUUAAAUUUAGUAUCUGCAUGUGCCCUAUUAUGAAUAAACUAUCAGGAAUAAAGUUUUAAUUUCUCUUUUUUGUUUUUCAUCUCAUAUAUGUAAUUUCAAGAUUAAAAAUGAUCACAAAUAAAAAUAAAUGUUCCUAUUCAUAUUUUGAGCAUGAUUGCUUCACUUUUUAGGGUGUUUUUUUGACUGUGCAGGAACCAUAAUAAGCCUGCACCUAAGAGAGGUCAACGAGAGCUUUUGUUGAGCUUGGAGCAGUCAAAUACACAAGAGAUUACUUGGAACAACGCAUCACUAUUAGGGAUGGGCAGCACAAGCAAAAACACUAUUCGAAAAUCGUGGCAACUAUUAGACAAUUUUUUGAAUAAUCGCCCCCAAACCCCCCCCACCCCCACCCGGAGCCACGCACACAGAGAUCCAUUCAUCAUUAAAUGCCCCAACAUUCUCGGGCGGAACAUACGCGCAACGGACUCCACGGAGGUCCGCGCGGACUCAAAGCAGACGUCCGCAAGCCCUGUGUGCGCAAAGCUCCGCGCACCAAUGACUGCUCAGCAUGUAUUUUUCACAUCGCGGGGAUUUUCCACGGAUAUUUUUACAGGAAACUACAACAUGGAAGUGCUCUUGACUAUGAAAGCCCGAAUGACUGCGGACAUACCUCGCAGAGUAGUAGUCUCUGCAUGUUUCUCCUGUUUGUAGAAGAGCAUCAAACUAGCUGGUAGCCCAUCUCACACCGCUGUAGCAAUCCUAUACUGCCCUCGUGCGGUUAGGAGCUGAAUUGCAUGUCAAAUAAAGGGGGGAAAUAAGACAGUGAAUAGUAAUAGUUGCAUUAAAAAAUCGAUAUUUCAAAAAUAAAACGACUAUUCGAAAUUUGAAAAUUGUGACCCAUCCCUAAUCACUAUGGAGCAGCGCCAGGACAGCAUCAGAUGCCAGGCCACUCUUGCGUCUGGUAGGUUCCCAUUUCAACCGCACGUGUAUAGUAAUACAACUUGAGUAUAUUCAAAUAAUUUCUAACCAUUUUGUUGUUUACAGGCAUCUAACUGAAGGACUCCUUUGAGCCCACUGUUGUUUUGGAGCAUGAGGCAAUCAUUGGUGGGUUCAAGUGCCUUUACUGGCUCAUAAAAAAUGAACUGGCCCACCACACAAACUACCCAAAUCAGUUAAGCCUGAUGAGUGUCCAGGGUGCAUCUACGUCUGAAAAUUAAAGGACACACUAGCUCUCUUUGCACAAGACCAUCAAGCCCCAAUUGAGGAACCUGAGUGCUGUCCCUUGGAGCACUGGCAGAGGAGGCAAUGGGGAGAAGAUGUCCAGUGGCAAAGUGACUCCAUACAUUCUGUGCUAAGUACAGAUUUGUAGCAGCAGCACAAGUUUAGGUUCCUCUCACAAUUCAGACUCUUAGGAGCAUCAAAGAGGCCGGACAGACUCCACUCACUGGAUCAUUCCUGUCCCGCCUCCAUUAGAACCCUGAUGAGCCCAAAGACGUUGAGAGUUCAACAUACGUACAGGGCGAGAAGUCCAAGAAGUGCUUAGCGAGGAGCAGUGGGCCAGAAUCCUGCAGGAGGUUACAUAACUGGCCUGGAAACACACGUGGACAGGAGGUUCCAUGAUCUGGACGUCUUUGGGGCCCUCAGUGCUUAGGCUCUGCAGUCAGCUGCUCUACAGGAUGAUACUACUUGUUCAAAAAUCAUAUUUUCAUUGGGGCAUUCAGAAGUACUGCUGGGCUAACCUCUGCCCAUGCCUGAGCCUCCUUGUUAGCAUUGCACUAGCUGUCCCUGUUUCCAUUGUGAACUGUGAAUGUGACUUUUUGAUGAUUAACAGGGAAAUAGUAUCACUUUGAAAAGCACAACAAAUAACUACACAUUUUCUUUAUGUUAGGAUCUCCAUAAUGGUCCCUGUCUUCCUUGGUCCCAGAGGCCUUCCCAUAUGAUAGGGCGUUGGAAUAUUUUUUCAGAAUCCCCAUAAAAUUAAAUAUUAAGACAAGUUGGCUGUGGAGCAGUCACUUAAAGUGUAGCAUACUCACUUUAUAUAUACUGUAUUUUUUAAAUUAUUUGACACAGUGUUGCAGUUUCAAAAAUGUUCUGGCACACCAAUAAGUCUUAGUUACGGGGGUACAGGAUUAAAAACUCUUUGCUCAGAAAGAUUGUGUAUAUGAACAUAGUCUCAUGAAGGCCUGAGGACCAAAAUGUUUAGCCUGCUUAACAUUUUUUCUGAACACCAGUUUUGCCUCUGAGGACCAGAUUUACUAAGAAAAUGACACUGAAGUUGAUGCAAUGCAGCUUUUAUUAUGUAUUUAUUACGUUCAGUUAAAAGUCACCCAUUUCAUCCAGCUAAAAUGAUUUAUUUUCCUUGAUGUCAGCUUUCAUGAAAGAUGCUGUUGCAAAAUGGCUGCAGUAUCAAUAUCAUCCACCAGAUAAACUUGAUAACAUGUUGACACAAAUAUUAUGGUUUACUAGCAGUUUGUUUAUAGAGGAUAUCCCUUAUAUAAAUAAACAGUUAUUAAAUAAAAAACACGAUAAUAAUAACUGAUUUAAUAGAUAGCAACAAUACGAUUAUGACCUUCCAGAAAUUCUCACAAUUAGAUGGUCCUUUAUGUACACCACUAGAAUGUAAUAAAAAUUAUUGUAUGAUCAUCCAACAUUUGGGGAAAAAUGCUAUAACUAAAAAGCCAAGACAACAAUUAGUAUGCUGCCAAUAUAUUAGAGACCAGUCAAUAUAACUUAGAUAAGUACAAUAUCACUCCAAUCAAGUGGUGGCUGUAGCUCAGUCCAUAGGGACUUGGGUUGGGAACCGGAGGGUCACCUGUUCAAGUCCCCAUCCGGCCCAAAUAUGGAGCGUGGACUGGUGGCUGGGGAGGUGCCAGUUCACCUCCUGGGCACUGCCGAGGUGCCCCUGAGCAAGGCACUGAACCCCCCCCAACCGCACGGGGCACCUGUCCAUGGCAGCCCCCCCUCACUCUGACAUCUCUCCACUUUGUCAACUCUACUUCGUGCAUGUAUAGGUCCUGUUUGUGCAUGUGUGUGUCUUUCGGACCUGUGUGUUAAUGACAAAAGAGUGAAAAAACUGAAUUUCCCCUCGGGGAUUAAUAAAAUAUAUAAAAUUAAAUUAGAUUAAAAAAAAUACCUCCAAUAAGUGGGAAGACUCUAUUUAUAUAACAAUUCUAUGGAAAGAUGUGUUUAACAUUAUUUAUGAAGAGAGAGGAGGAGCGCACACCAGGGUUGGCGAGGUGCUGACCAUUGAUGGAAAAAAUACAAAUUUGAAAAAAAGAUGUCAGGUGAACACUCUAAAAAUAUUUUCUUUUAUUCAAAUACCGAUGUUUCGACUAGACCGUCUUCAUCAGGGUUUUUUUUAACAUUAUUCAUAACACGACCUAAGAUGUAUCUGUAUGCAUAAUACAAAGGUGGAUAAUAGAGCACAUAUUAGAGCACAAACUUCUCGUGUUUAUUUAAAGGGCCAGUGUGUAAUAUUUGGCAUGGUUUAUUGUCAAUCUGAAUCUGAAUCUGAAUAUUCUACCCAUUAAUAUGUUUAUACAAGUGUAUAAUUGCUAUAAAAUAAAAUUUGUUUGGUUUUCGUAGCUAUAUAUAAUUAUGCUUUAUAUAUAUAUAUAUAUAUAUAUAUAUAUAUAUAUACACAUAUAGCAAGGGCCUUGCUUUAGAGAGGUCGCCAUCUUGCGCCGCCAUGUAUGUACGGCAGACCGAGCGGACAAUCCAGCCAGCCAGAGAACGCGUUUCGCGUGUAUAAAUAAACCAACAAAGACAGCGGAGGGAAGGAAGAAGGAGGAGGAAACAGCAGAGAGUGUUAGUAGUUUGUCGAUAGAGAGUAGUGAAAAGUUUUUUUAGUUAUAAAGUUUGUGAAUGGACCACACUUACCACGCAACAGGAGAGAAUGAACCCGAACCGUCAUCUGUAAGGAAAAGAAGACGCAACUUCACUCCUUGUGAUGCACUCUCUGCGGCGCUUUUCCUCCUGAUGAUAUAUCUCCCCAACGAUGGUAGCAGUAGCACCGAAUCCCAUUCUGUGCAUUCAGCCUAUCUUCUCGCCCACUCAGCAUCAAACACAUGGAGUUCCUCAUCUGUAUGCUCCGGCUCAAACAGGUAUGGCUCUGGGUCUGCGUCCGCUACAAGAAACUCUUCAAAAUCGUGUUCAAAGUCGUCAAUUGCAGCUACUAUAGUCGGAGAUAUUGCUAGGCUAAAUAAACAGCUGAGCUCUGUUUACCGGCUACGCUGUCAGUCAGUGUGGGCUGGAUAUUGGUGGAGCAGAGGUGGGAGGGGGGUCCCCACUAAGUAUGGUAAACAAGUAUGUGUGUAUGAAGUGUGUCUGUUACGUCAGAAGAGUCAGAGUUUGGGACGGAGUCUUUUACACCCUGGAGUGUUACUAGAGUUUUUGGAGUGCUCAAAUAAACUGGCCUUUUUCCCCGAACGCUCCUCUGGUCUCCUGCUCGUGAGGGAUUCAUUACAAUAUCGUAACGUGGUUUAGAUUUCUAAAUAAAUAUUCACCUCGUCGCUAGAUAGACCUACUCCUGAAAAACUCGUGCGCAAGGCUUUUUGUCCCUACAAGGCCACCGUCAUUUACCCAACGGGAGGGGUGAGCGAGUGAGCCCUGCAAUCUAGAAUUUGACCACUGAUGUCACUGUUUUCAACCCAUUUUACACACUGGCCCUUUAAAUACAAUCAAUUUUAGCAGAUGGUUAGAUGUUAGCUUUCACUGUUAUUUUAUUGGUAACCUGAACGCUGGCUACUGUGGGCCAUAGCCAUUGCCAAAACAGUGAGAUACCUGAUGUAAGCGCUGUAUUAGCCACUUGUGAGUCUUCUCCUGUUCACCAGCAGGAAUAAACACAUCCCUCCUUAGCUCUUAGCCAGCUACAGCUUUGCCAUCUCCCUCAGUUUACCAAGCUGACAAUAUGUUCACUUUGUUAUAAUCUAAGACAUCUAUAAACUAGCGAUGCAUGAUAUUGGAUUUUUUUGCCAAUAGCUGGUAUGCUGAUAUGUAACACUUCAUUUGGCCGUUAACCAAUAUUGAUUUAUUCACCUUCUUACCCAACUAAAUUUAUUGAUCCUCAAGUGUCUUCUGUAGUGUAAUUAACAUUAUAUUAUACAUGCAUACUCUUAUUGUGAUGGCCCACCAGCAGAUGGAAACAUGGAAUACAAUGUUUUCCAAUGUAUGUAAUAUUCAUUCAUUGUGCAAAUUAAGAAAAAGCAUGUUGGAAGAUUCUGAUAGCUGAUUUUAAAGCUGAUAUUGGCAGAUACCAAUGAUGUGCCGAUAUUAUCGUGCAUAAAAUGGUCAGUGAUCUGAUUUAUUGUGCUAUGUUAUUUUCUCCUAUUUUUUAAUACAGAGAUUGAAGAUUUUGGAUAAUUUGUAUUAUAACCUACUAUAUUAUGAGCUCUGAUGUAUAAGUUGAUUUGUUCAGAUCAAUGACCUAUUAAACUACUACUUCCAGGUAUUUUUGUGAGUAAUGUCUGCUGCCUUAUUUGAUUGCUGGUAUCUAUGUCAUGAUGUCUGACACCUCAUUUGAUGCAGUCAUCACCUUUCCCUCUGCUCUGCCAAACCCCCUCCCACACAGUAUCAGCAAUCCUCUGCCAUGCAGUAAAGCAGUAGUCUGCUGUUUUUUGGCUGGCUGCCGUGCCAGCUUUUUCAUGCAUUAAGAAUUUUGGACUAAAAACAUCUUGGGCCCUAUUUAAAGAAAAGAAAAGAAGCAGAGUGAGACUGCGAGAGAGAAAGAGGGAGCGCGCGCGGACAAGAGAAACGUUGUUAACAAAUUGUAAAUUAUUCAAUUUAUUUUAUUUUA
Long non-coding RNA from Epinephelus fuscoguttatus (brown-marbled grouper), 12881 nucleotides. RefSeq lists it as uncharacterized. NCBI's taxonomy places the organism in Eukaryota, Metazoa, Chordata, Actinopteri, Perciformes, Serranidae. The record is from RefSeq and is a predicted model, not a curated record. The transcript has 3 exons.